This 364-nucleotide RNase P RNA is filed under the name Actinomycetota bacterium. RNAcentral describes it as "Actinobacteria bacterium RNase P RNA component class A". It matches the Rfam family "Bacterial RNase P class A". Rfam says of the family: Ribonuclease P (RNase P) is a ubiquitous endoribonuclease, found in archaea, bacteria and eukarya as well as chloroplasts and mitochondria. Its best characterised activity is the generation of mature 5'-ends of tRNAs by cleaving the 5'-leader elements of precursor-tRNAs. The record is from RNAcentral. Lineage: Bacteria; Bacillati; Actinomycetota.
GGAGCGGCCAGGCGACCGCGGCGCCGACGACGGUGUCGAGGAAAGUCCGGACUCCACAGGGCAGGAUGCUGGGUAACUCCCAGGCGCGGUGACGCGCGGAAAGCGCAACAGAGAGCAGACCGCCUCCGCCACGCGGAGGUAAGGGUGAAACGGUGGUGUAAGAGACCACCAGCGUCCCAGGUGACUGGGAUGGCUAGGCAAGCCCCAUCCGGAGCAAGGCCAAGCAGGGACAGGGUGGCCCGCCCGCGACGUCCCAGGUAGGCCGCUAGAGGCGUCGGGUAACCGGCGUCCCAGAGAGAUGGUCGCCACCCGCCGUUCGCAACGGCGGCGGGGACAGGAUCCGGCUUACCGGCCGACUCCUCCC